UGCGUUUUUGCGUUUUCUAAUGC
Molecule: non-coding RNA, 23 nt
Filed under: Arabidopsis thaliana (thale cress)
Lineage: Eukaryota; Viridiplantae; Streptophyta; Magnoliopsida; Brassicales; Brassicaceae
Source: RNAcentral